AUAUAGAGCUCUGGGUGGGCAGAGACCAGGACUGUCAUAGCACCCAUCCUGGGUCCGCUGGACAGAAAUGCUCAUAAAUAUUUGUGGGAAGAAAGGACCGUGUGAAUAAUAUAAAUCAGUGAAAAUGUGCUCUGCUUUGUUCUGAGGGUAAUCAAUUAAGAAAUUUAACUGUUAACAGUUCAAAGAAAUUCAAAGCAGAAGACCGGAGAAAGCGGCACAAAUGAGGUUAAAGAAAUAGCAGAUUCUUCUGCUGGAAGAUCAUGCACUGACCGGCCUACACAGGCAACUUGUUUCUGUUGGAAAUUUUAUUACACGUUGUAAGAUAACUGGAAUUCUGCUUUAAAAAAACAAAAAGAAUUCCUUUAAUGGGCAAAAUUGGCACAAACGCAGGUGGACAUUAUAUAAAGUGAAAGCUUCAGGAAACAGACCAUUCGUUUCACCUUGAUCUGCUGAAUCACAUACAAGGGCGAAAGACUCCCGCCGCCCCCACCCCCCUCCCCCACACACCGAUAUUCAACACUCUCUUGCACAGAAAACUGAAACAACCCUCUAAACAUCGACUCUUUCUGUCCCCUCCAAGACAUUAAAGUCAGCAAGUGCAAGGUCAGCCUCGUGAGCAGCCUUUCUCGGAGGACAGGCUGGAGCCCGAGGCCGAGUGCAGCCUCUGCCGUAGGGUGUGCAAAGGGUAAGGCCUGUCUCCGAAACUCUAGCGCGGGGGGCGGCAGUCAUUGAAAUUGAUGCCAGAACUCUCGUUAUUCCGUUUUUCGGCCAUUUUCAUCACAGAACCAUUAACUAAGACAUUGCUAGCAACAGGACGGCCCCCUCACCCCCCCGUCCCAGAACUGCCAGCCGCCGGCAGCGCGCAGGAAGGGGAGGCACAAGGCCGCGCGAAGGCUCGUACGCUGACCGGCCAAUAUGGCCACUUUCACGUGGCUGUGGGCUACCGCGGCUCCCCGUCACCCGGGCAUCCCCAGGC
Molecule: long non-coding RNA, 976 nt
Organism: Bos taurus (domestic cattle)
Lineage: Eukaryota; Metazoa; Chordata; Mammalia; Artiodactyla; Bovidae
Source: Ensembl